This 245-nucleotide ribosomal RNA is filed under the name uncultured Candidatus Saccharibacteria bacterium. Its description in RNAcentral is "partial 16S ribosomal RNA". It matches the Rfam family "Bacterial small subunit ribosomal RNA", at positions 439 to 700 of the family's 1533-position model. The record is from RNAcentral. Lineage: Bacteria; Candidatus Saccharimonadota.
UGUGAGAAGAAUUUGACGGUAACACAUGAAUAAGGGUUGGCUAACUACGUGCCAGCAGCCGCGGUCAUACGUAGGACCCAAGCGUUAUCCGGAAUUACUGGGCGUAAAGAGUUGCGUAGGUGGCAUUAUAAGUGGAGCGUGAAAGCGUGCGGCUCAACCGCAUUAUUGCGUUCUAAACUGUAAAGCUUGAGUAUGAGAGAGGUAGAUGGAAUUUCUAGUGUAGGAGUGAAAUCCGUAGAUAUUAG